This 468-nucleotide ribosomal RNA is filed under the name uncultured bacterium. Its description in RNAcentral is "partial 16S ribosomal RNA". It matches the Rfam family "Bacterial small subunit ribosomal RNA", at positions 28 to 507 of the family's 1533-position model. The record is from RNAcentral.
GACGAACGCUGGGGGCGUGCUUAACACAUGCAAGUCGAACGGAAAGGCCCUGCUUUUGUGGGGUGCUCGAGUGGCGAACGGGUGAGUAACACGUGAGUAACCUGCCCUUGACUUUGGGAUAACUUCAGGAAACUGGGGCUAAUACCGGAUAGGAGCUCCUGCUGCAUGGUGGGGGUUGGAAAGUUUCGGCGGUUGGGGAUGGACUCGCGGCUUAUCAGCUUGUUGGUGGGGUAGUGGCUUACCAAGGCUUUGACGGGUAGCCGGCCUGAGAGGGUGAUCGGCCACAUUGGGACUGAGAUACGGCCCAGACUCCUACGGGAGGCAGCAGUGGGGAAUAUUGCACAAUGGGCGGAAGCCUGAUGCAGCAACGCCGCGUGCGGGAUGACGGCCUUCGGGUUGUAAACCGCUUUCGCCUGUGACGAAGCGUGAGUGACGGUAAUGUGUAAAGAAGCACCGGCUAACUACGUG